RNAcentral lists this long non-coding RNA (292 nucleotides) under Lathyrus oleraceus (garden pea). Its description in RNAcentral is "Pisum sativum (pea) long non-coding RNA (PSAT_LNC018561)". The record is from RNAcentral. Lineage: Eukaryota; Viridiplantae; Streptophyta; Magnoliopsida; Fabales; Fabaceae.
UUUAUUUCUUGACUUCUAAUCUUCAUUUUGCUUCUGUUUUCUAUUGUUUGACCUUGAUCUUCUCUAUCUUUGGUCAAUGCUUGUUGAUUAACACAUACCAUUUCCAUUAAUGCACUUUAAUUCUUCAUCUUCUUCUUCUUCUUGUUCUUUUUUUUCUUUUUGAUCAAUGAGUUAAGGAUUGGUGGUUAGCAUUGAUACAUGGAGGUUUAAUCUUCCUUGAUUCAAAUCUAAUUCAUCUUGAUCAUGGAUCAAGUGAAUGGCUUUGCAUUAAGGAUAGGUUGCUUCCUAAAUC